This 225-nucleotide ribosomal RNA is filed under the name Clostridioides difficile. RNAcentral's name for it is "partial 16S ribosomal RNA". It matches the Rfam family "Bacterial small subunit ribosomal RNA", at positions 1318 to 1533 of the family's 1533-position model. The record is from RNAcentral. Lineage: Bacteria; Bacillati; Bacillota; Clostridia; Peptostreptococcales; Peptostreptococcaceae.
ACAUGAAGCUGGAGUUACUAGUAAUCGCAGAUCAGAAUGCUGCGGUGAAUGCGUUCCCGGGUCUUGUACACACCGCCCGUCACACCACGGGAGUUGGAGACGCCCGAAGCCGAUUAUCUAACCUUUUGGAAGAAGUCGUCGAAGGUGGAAUCAAUAACUGGGGUGAAGUCGUAACAAGGUAGCCGUAUCGGAAGGUGCGGCUGGAUCACCUCCUUUCUAAGGAGA